CAGCAGCCACGGUAAUGCGUAGGGUGCAAGCGUUAAUCGGAAUUACUGGGCGCAAAGCGUGCGCAGGCGGUUCGUUAAGACAGAUGUGAAAUCCCCGGGCUUAACCUGGGAACUGCAUUUGUGACUGGCGGGCUAGAGUAUGGCAGAGGGGGGUAGAAUUCCACGUGUAGCAGUGAAAUGCGUAGAGAUGUGGAGGAAUACCGAUGGCGAAGGCAGCCCCCUGGGCCAAUACUGACGCCCAUGCACGAAAGCGUGGGGAGCAAACAGGAUUAGAUACCCCAGUAGUCCCUGUCUCUUAUAC
RNAcentral lists this ribosomal RNA (301 nucleotides) under uncultured bacterium. Its description in RNAcentral is "partial 16S ribosomal RNA". It matches the Rfam family "Bacterial small subunit ribosomal RNA", at positions 509 to 807 of the family's 1533-position model. The record is from RNAcentral.